This 836-nucleotide ribosomal RNA is filed under the name uncultured bacterium. RNAcentral describes it as "bacterial SSU rRNA". It matches the Rfam family "Bacterial small subunit ribosomal RNA", at positions 61 to 943 of the family's 1533-position model. The record is from RNAcentral.
GUCGAACGAACCCUUCGGGGUGAGUGGCGCACGGGUACGUAACACGUGGGAAUAUACCCUUCAGUAAGGAACAACACAGAGAAAUUUGUGCUAAUACCUUAUAAUGACUCCGGUCCAAAGAUUUAUCGCUGAAGGAUUAGCCCGCGCCUGAUUAGGUAGUUGGUGAGGUAAGAGCUCACCAAGCCGACGAUCAGUAGGGGGUUUGAGAGGAUGAUCCCCCACACUGGAACUGAGACACGGUCCAGACUCCUACGGGAGGCAGCAGUGAGGAAUAUUGGACAAUGGGCGAAAGCCUGAUCCAGCCAUGCCGCGUGAGUGACGAAGGCCUUAGGGUUGUAAAGCUCUUUCAGAUGCGACGAUAAUGACGGUAACAUCAGAAGAAGCUCCGGCUAAAUUCGUGCCAGCAGCCGCGGUAAUACGAAUGGAGCAAGCGUUGUUCGGAAUCACUGGGCGUAAAGCGUACGUAGGCGGAUUAACAAGUCAGAAGUGAAAGCCCAGGGCUCAACCCUGGAACGGCUUUUGAAACUGUUAGUCUAGAGUCCCGGAGAGGUUAGGGGAAUUCCGAGUGUAGCAGUGAAAUGCGCAGAUAUUCGGAGGAACACCAGUGGCGUAGGCGCCUAACUGGACGGGAACUGACGCUGAGGUACGAAAGCGUGGGGAGCAAACAGGAUUAGAUACCCUGGUAGUCCACGCCGUAAACGAUGUAUGCUAGUUGUUGGUGUCCUUAGGGCAUCGGUGACGCAGCUAACGCGAUAAGCAUACCGCCUGGGGAGUACGGUCGCAAGAUUAAAACUCAAAGGAAUUGACGGGGACCCGCACAAGCGGUGGAGCAUGUU